GCCUGGUAGCCAAGUGGCUAGCCUAUGGCCUUUCGUGUCACAGGCUUCAGGUUCGAAUCCUGGCAGGGGCA
Non-coding RNA from Caerostris darwini, 71 nucleotides. Lineage: Eukaryota; Metazoa; Arthropoda; Arachnida; Araneae; Araneidae. The record is from the annotation of a GenBank genome assembly.